Molecule: non-coding RNA, 230 nt
Organism: Pelobates cultripes (western spadefoot toad)
Lineage: Eukaryota; Metazoa; Chordata; Amphibia; Anura; Pelobatidae
Source: the annotation of a GenBank genome assembly
CGCAUUUUUGUCUUAACCAGGGACAUAUGUGGGAGGUCUGGACAUGACCACUGUUGUGCUAGGGACCUUCGGGCCGCUAAAUAGAUCAUGUUAAGGAGUCUUUGUUCGUGUCUGGGGAGGUCCUUUGUGGGUCUUGAGAGUAGGCACGCCCAUGGGUCUAACCCCAGUCGCUUUUGUAGGAUUUGGGAGCUGAGCUCCACAACUUUGCGCCAGUAUUCCGUGACCCUCGG